RNAcentral lists this long non-coding RNA (569 nucleotides) under Eucalyptus grandis. RNAcentral's name for it is "long non-coding RNA (EGRA_LNC001364)". Lineage: Eukaryota; Viridiplantae; Streptophyta; Magnoliopsida; Myrtales; Myrtaceae. The record is from RNAcentral.
GAUAUUUUAAUAUUUGUUAAAUCCUAAAAUGAUUUUAUUGAAUUGGGUUUUGACAUCUAUUGAUAAUAGGCCUAGUUAAGCAGCAAAGUGUAGGCAAUUGAGUUUAAUUGAAGCCCGUAAUAGAAAGGGUCCAGUUGACACGUUGUUGAUUAGGGUUUGUUAGGUCCUCUUUCUAGCUUAUAAAAUGUAGGUUAUACUAUUGGUUGCUUAAUAUCCCAUUGAAAGCUGUUAUAUUAAAAUAGGCCAUGGAGAAGAAGAUCUGACAUUUCGAUAAAUAUCUGAUUAUCAGAGUAAUCUAUUUUGUGAAGUAAUAGCUCAAAUAGGUACGUUUUAAUUCCGCUAUACUUAUUGAUCUCGGUGUUUUACAAUCAUAUAUGGAUUUGAUUCUUCUUGAUUGAUUAGUUGUUUAUGUGAAUAAUUUUCUACAGUUACACGCAAUUGAGAAUGGACUGGUUGGAGCAAAGUGCUUAGAAAUUAUGAUAAGCAAGUAUAUGGUUCCUACUCCAAGAGGCCCAAUCUGUAGAAGAGUGUUUCAAGUUGAUUUCAUCUGAUGGUCAUGACUCAUGCGC